Long non-coding RNA from Carassius auratus (goldfish), 254 nucleotides. RefSeq lists it as uncharacterized. The transcript is spliced from 3 exons. NCBI's taxonomy places the organism in Eukaryota, Metazoa, Chordata, Actinopteri, Cypriniformes, Cyprinidae. The record is from RefSeq and is a predicted model, not a curated record.
UGAUGUGUGUAAAUGCACUGUUUGUCAGGAAGUGCUCAAGAAAAUAAAAACGAAAGCACACAGAGGAUUCAAGUCAGCAUGCACUAAUGCUCCGGAUACUCCCCGACGUUGUCUAGAGGAGAUGACUGCGCGUCAGGGCUCUGGACAGGCCUGGGGAAAACUGGUGAACUUGAACACAUCUCCGGGUCCAGAGAUGUUACUCAGAAAUAGAGAAUGCAUGGUGGGGAGAAAAAAAGAUUGUGACCUUUCAUUCC